UACGGAGGGUGCAAGCGUUAUCCGGAUUCACUGGGUUUAAAGGGUGCGUAGGUGGGUUGGUAAGUCAGUGGUGAAAUCCCCGAGCUUAACUUGGGAACUGCCAUUGAUACUAUCAGUCUUGAAUACCGUGGAGAUGAGCGGAAUAUGUCAUGUAGCGGUGAAAUGCUUAGAUAUGACAUAGAACACCAAUUGCGAAGGCAGCUCGUUACACGAAUAUUGACACUCAGGCACGAAAGCGUGGGGAUCAAACAGG
This 253-nucleotide ribosomal RNA is filed under the name uncultured bacterium. RNAcentral's name for it is "partial 16S ribosomal RNA". It matches the Rfam family "Bacterial small subunit ribosomal RNA", at positions 524 to 776 of the family's 1533-position model. The record is from RNAcentral.